CGUUAUGCAAAUACUGAUGUCUUCAAACUCGUGAGAUCACUUCCAAAUGAGCAUGUGCAAAGGUAUCUUGCAUUGAGAAAUGCAGCCGUUACUCUGAAAUAACUUGCAAGAAUUCGCCUUGACAAUGCUAGCCUGCUCCUGUUUCUGUUUCUGCAUGAGAUAGGGUAGAGCUAUUAAAUAGUUUAGCUCGAAGAGAUGCAUAUUUAUUGUUACUUGUGAUCUGUACUGUGGUGAGAGUAAACAUGAUUAAUUGCACCGAACUAUGUUUUGGAAUUUGUCAGUAUGGCUAAUUUGAUGUAAACCAAUCAGUGUCUGUAGCUUAGGUAACUGGAUCAUUUAUGGAUCUUGACCUUUUGGCAGGCUUGCUAUAUCAUGCAGUUGAUAGGUUCUUGAAUUGUGCAUGGCAUUAAAAACUAGUGCAAUUGCCUAUGAAAUCAUCUCCAUCCUUGCUCCCAACAUUCUAUGUUUUUCCACUUGAAUUACUUCAUUGCCUAUAGCUCUCGGUUUUGUUGGCUGAGUUUAUACAGAAACCCACCUUUUGUUUGGUUAACG
RNAcentral lists this long non-coding RNA (552 nucleotides) under Populus trichocarpa (black cottonwood). RNAcentral's name for it is "long non-coding RNA (PTRI_LNC004510)". The record is from RNAcentral. Lineage: Eukaryota; Viridiplantae; Streptophyta; Magnoliopsida; Malpighiales; Salicaceae.